This 429-nucleotide ribosomal RNA is filed under the name uncultured bacterium. Its description in RNAcentral is "bacterial SSU rRNA". It matches the Rfam family "Bacterial small subunit ribosomal RNA", at positions 355 to 776 of the family's 1533-position model. The record is from RNAcentral.
UCGGGAAUAUUGCACAAUGGGCGAAAGCCUGAUGCAGCGACGCCGCGUGAGCGAAGAAGGCCUUCGGGUUGUAAAGCUCUGUUGCCCGUGACGAAGGACCGCAUCAGGGAAUGGGUGCGGGGAGACGGUAGCGGGCGAGGAAGCCCCGGCCAACUACGUGCCAGCAGCCGCGGUAAUACGUAGGGGGCGAGCGUUGUCCGGAAUUAUUGGGCGUAAAGGGCGUGUAGGCGGCCUGUCAAGUCAGGGGUGAAAACCCGGGGCUCAACUCCGGGGUUGCCCUUGAAACUGGGAGGCUUGAGUGCUCUAGAGGGCAGUGGAAUUCCCGGUGUAGCAGUGAAAUGCGUAGAGAUCGGGAGGAACACCAGUGGCGAAGGCGGCUGCCUGGGGAGUAACUGACGCUGAGGCGCGAAAGCUAGGGGAGCAAACAGG